Molecule: long non-coding RNA, 391 nt
Organism: Pipistrellus kuhlii (Kuhl's pipistrelle)
Lineage: Eukaryota; Metazoa; Chordata; Mammalia; Chiroptera; Vespertilionidae
Exons: 2
Source: RefSeq, a predicted model, not a curated record
CACACCCCCUAGUGAGGAUAUGCCCGCAACCAAGGUACAUGCCCUUGACCAGAAUCGAACCCGGGACCUUUCAGUCCCCAAGCCGCCGGACGCUCUAUCCACUGAGCCAAACAGGUUUGGUUCAAUUGUAUUUUCAUAUCAAGAUGUAAACAAAAUUGGAACUUGACUUUUUAAAAAUAGCAUUUACAAUAGAAUUUUUUAAAUUAAUACAUAAAUAAAUUUAACAAAAAAGGUAUAAGACCUGAACGCUAAAAACUACAAAACAUGACUGAGAAUAAUUAAAAACCUAAAUAGUUGGAGAGAUCUAGCAUGUUCAUAGAUUAGAAGAACCAUUACUGUUAAAAUGCCAGUUUUCCCCAAACUUAUCUCUAUAGAUUGAGUGCAAUCCAAA